UGUAUAUUAGUGUAAACAGCACAGAAAAUUUUGAUCUUUCAAGAAAUGGUGAAAUUCCUUUGUAUAUAA
Molecule: transfer RNA, 69 nt
Filed under: Cambaroides dauricus
Lineage: Eukaryota; Metazoa; Arthropoda; Malacostraca; Decapoda; Cambaridae
Description: tRNA-Gln
Source: RNAcentral